RNAcentral lists this ribosomal RNA (445 nucleotides) under uncultured bacterium. RNAcentral describes it as "bacterial SSU rRNA". It matches the Rfam family "Bacterial small subunit ribosomal RNA", at positions 354 to 796 of the family's 1533-position model. The record is from RNAcentral.
GUAAGGAAUAUUGGACAAUGGACGCAAGUCUGAUCCAGCCAUGCCGCGUGAAGGAUUAAGGUCCUCUGGAUUGUAAACUUCUUUUAUAAGGGACGAAAAAAGGCUUUUCUAAGUCGUCUGACGGUACCUUAUGAAUAAGCACCGGCUAACUCCGUGCCAGCAGCCGUGGUAAUACGGAGGGUGCAAGCGUUAUCCGGAUUCACUGGGUUUAAAGGGUGCGUAGGCGGGCAGGUAAGUCAGUGGUGAAAUCCUAGAGCUUAACUCUAGAACUGCCAUUGAUACUAUCUGUCUUGAAUAUUGUGGAGGUAAGCGGAAUAUGUCAUGUAGCGGUGAAAUGCUUAGAUAUGACAUAGAACACCUAUUGCGAAGGCAGCUUACUACGCAUAUAUUGACGCUGAGGCACGAAAGCGUGGGGAUCAAACAGGAUUAGAAACCCGUGUAGUCC